Molecule: ribosomal RNA, 423 nt
Filed under: uncultured bacterium
Lineage: Bacteria
Description: bacterial SSU rRNA
Rfam family: Bacterial small subunit ribosomal RNA
Source: RNAcentral
UAGGGAAUAUCGGGCAAUGGACGCAAGUCUGACCCAGCCAUGCCGCGUGCAGGAUGAAUGUUCUAUGAAUUGUAAACUGCUUUUUUAUGGAAAGAAACCCCCGGAUGCGUUCGGGGCUGACGGUACCAUAAGAAUAAGGAUCGGCUAACUUCGUGCCAGCAGCCGCGGUAAGACGAAGGAUUCAAGCGUUGUCCGGAUUUACUGGGUUUAAAGGGUGCGUAGGCGGAAAUAUAAGUCAGUGGUGAAAUCCCGCAGCUCAACUGCGGAACUGCCAUUGAAACUGCAUUUCUUGAAUACGGUUGAGGUAGAUGGAAUGUAACAUGUAGCGGUGAAAUGCUUAGAUAUGUUACAGAACUCCGAUUGCGAAGGCAGUCUACUAAGCCGUUAUUGACGCUGAGGCACGAAAGCGUGGGGAGCAAACAG